GCCACCAGCACGCGAUGCGCUGGUCGCGUGCUCCAUGACCCCCCCGACUCUGGUCUCUACUGUGCCCCGAUUGACAACGACUCCAUCAAUCAAUGCAUCCGAUCUCUCGGGUAGUAAUCGGAUCCUGUCGGAGGACCUACGCAUUCAUUCGGGCGGAGCAAGGCGCACGCGCUUCAACGCCACACCCAUGUCACCACCUGCCAUCAACUCCACCCUCACUCACAUGACUGUCUGUGUGUCUUAGUAGCAGAACCAAUCCUGCGUCGAAGCAGAUUCCCUUCUGCUCCAUCGCAUCGCGACAACAGCAUACGUCGCCGUUCGGGUCGUCCUCGUUGCCGCAUUUAUGGGAGCGGACGUGGUGUUGUUGAGGGGAGCUAUGGCGCCGCCACCCCCAUCACGCCAUAGCCAGCUCUAAAAGCUUGAAAAACUUUUUUUUUACCUCCUUCACACUGUCACUCCUGUUGACAAGUCAAUGUCCUUGCUUUCUGUUACUUAGAGCCUUAUUUGUUUAUUUAUUUAUAAUUUUUGUGAUGUCUUUAGUGCAUACUGUUUGUAUGAUACGGAUAUAUCACGUCCACGGACUUUUUUAACAGUUGAAUGUAUAACAGUUUUGUAUCAUCCACUCAAGUUUUA
This is a non-coding RNA of Physcomitrium patens, 633 nucleotides long. The record is from RefSeq and is a predicted model, not a curated record. Lineage: Eukaryota; Viridiplantae; Streptophyta; Bryopsida; Funariales; Funariaceae.